RNAcentral lists this ribosomal RNA (250 nucleotides) under uncultured bacterium. RNAcentral describes it as "partial 16S ribosomal RNA". It matches the Rfam family "Bacterial small subunit ribosomal RNA", at positions 779 to 1029 of the family's 1533-position model. The record is from RNAcentral.
UAGAUACCCUGGUAGUCCACGCCGUAAACGUUGGGAACUAGAUGUGGGGACCAUUCCACGGUCUCCGUGUCGCAGCUAACGCAUUAAGUUCCCCGCCUGGGGAGUACGGCCGCAAGGCUAAAACUCAAAGGAAUUGACGGGGGCCCGCACAAGCGGCGGAGCAUGCGGAUUAAUUCGAUGCAACGCGAAGAACCUUACCAAGGCUUGACAUAUACCUGAAAAGGCUGGAAACAGUCUCCCCGCAAGGCAG